RNAcentral lists this transfer RNA (68 nucleotides) under Cyclopes didactylus (silky anteater). RNAcentral's name for it is "tRNA-Phe". It matches the Rfam family "tRNA". Rfam says of the family: Transfer RNA (tRNA) molecules are approximately 80 nucleotides in length. Their secondary structure includes four short double-helical elements and three loops (D, anti-codon, and T loops). The record is from RNAcentral. Lineage: Eukaryota; Metazoa; Chordata; Mammalia; Pilosa; Cyclopedidae.
GUUAAUGUCGCUUAAACUAAAGCAAGGCACUGAAAAUGCCUAGAUGAGUCACUAAAACUCCAUAAACA